CGUGUAGGCGGUCAGGUAAGUGGGACGUGAAAUGCCUCGGCUCACCCGAGGAGCGGCGUCCCAUACUGCUUGGCUUGAGUACGGGAGAGGAUGUGGGAAUUCCUGGUGUAGCGGUGAAAUGCGUAGAUAUCAGGAGGAACACCGGUGGCGAAGGCGCACAUCUGGCCCGAUACUGACGCUGAAGCGCGAAGCAGGGAGCAAACA
Molecule: ribosomal RNA, 204 nt
Filed under: uncultured bacterium
Lineage: Bacteria
Description: partial 16S ribosomal RNA
Rfam family: Bacterial small subunit ribosomal RNA
Source: RNAcentral